This is a long non-coding RNA of Myiozetetes cayanensis, 1942 nucleotides long. RefSeq lists it as uncharacterized. The record is from RefSeq and is a predicted model, not a curated record. Lineage: Eukaryota; Metazoa; Chordata; Aves; Passeriformes; Tyrannidae. The transcript is spliced from 3 exons.
UGCUCCCCCCGGCCACGCUCCCGCCAGCCGAAGGGGCGGAGAUGGGUGUCCCGCACCGAGGGACGGGUGCUGACGAAGCCCAGGCUGUAAUGAGGGUGGGCGGAGGGAUGUUGAAGACCUUCUGCGUUUUUCUUCGCACCGCAAGCUUUUGCCAUUCCAGGUGAAUGCAAUGUCUCUUCCAAUCUCCAACUACAGAAGCAGUGAUGAUCUGAAUGCAGUCUGACCCACCCCCUCCAUACCUUGGGGAACACUGCAAAUGGCCUAUUCAGGUAGACACUACUUGAGAUACCGCAUCUUGCCCAACUGACUGCCGAUCUGCAGUGCUUUGCCAGAAGCUACCAAUGUUGUGGGAAAACCUCUACAAUAAAGCUAGAGGAAGAGACCCAGCAGAAGUCCUUAAAGUUCAGACUGUUUUAUUCUGAAAGACUACUGAAGUAGCACAAGAGUGUGAGCACCGCUGGAAUGGGCCAUUUCCGCAGACCAGUUCAGCUGCAGGACUUUCAGGAAGUGGCAUGACUUUUUGGUGAAAGAAUUCUUUGAAGAAGAGUUCUUUGAAGCAUGGCCAUACUUAAGGCGACAGAUUUUUGUAACUUUUUACCCUCCUUUCUGUAGUAUUAAAUAUUUUUUAUUUAGGUACUUGUUUAUUCUUAAGCAGUAAGAAUUUAGCUAAGACAGAACUGCUGGGGGCUUCUGUAUUAAGCAUCUGUUCUCAAAUAGCCAUAUUUAGCCUAAUGCUCUUAUUUUGCUGAUAGAAACUAAGUUUAGAAACUGCUUUGCCACUGUUUUUUUUGCCAGUGUGAGCUGUAUUUUGAGUGAUAUUGAAAAUCAAGCUGCACUCUUGACAAAUGGCUGAUACAUUUACUGACGCUGUCAUUCCUUACACUGUGGUUACUAUAAUGUAUUGUCCAUGUAAAAAACACUACAUUUAAUUUAGUGUUCUUUAAAGAACUAUGAAGCUUACACACUGAAGAAAUAUGGAAUAUGGAGAAUAUAUUAUAUAUAUUUUAUAUAUAUAUUAUACAUAAUCAUAAAAUUUUAGUCUCUUGAUGGUGAGGGGAGCCCAGCAUUUUAGAAAGAAUCAUAAAAGCUGCCUUGAAUCCAUGUGUUGUCUAUAGCAACAUCAGCUUAAAAAAAAACCCAAACCCACAAUCAUUUCUGAGGAAGCAUGCAUAAUGCAGUAAAGAGUUUAACUGCCAGCUUGUAUGCCAGAAGUGGAAAACUGAACAUAAAAGAAGGGGAUGGAGACAUAGCCCUCAACCUUCUGUGGGCACCCAGAAAAUUGAAUUGCACUCUUUUCAUUGUUUCAGACUAGUUCUGUAGUACAUCCACACAUAGUUUGCAGAAAACAGGUUUUCCAAACUCUUAAUACCCUGCCCUGGGACAGGUUAAGUAAAGGUAUAGAUUUUAAUGAGGUGUUAGAGAAAGUGGAAAGAAAUCUGUAGUAAGACUUUCUCUGCUUCUGGGUGGGUGCCAACAUUAAGGGAAGAACUGGAUCUUUUAAAACUGAUCCUAUUUAAAACAUUAGAAUUUCUUUUUCUCCUAGUAGUUACUGAACUAAUCUAUGUUAUAAUUUUUAAGAUUCCCUCUUGGAUAAUGCAGAAUUAUUGUUUUGGUCUCUGAAAGUUUCAUCACUACAUUUGAUUUCUGAUGGCAGACUAAGCCUUCUGCUAUUCCUUAGCAGUGUGGCCACUGCAGGCUCAAGUAGUUCUAAUCAGGUGUUGGUAUCUGGAGUUGCUGUAAAUGUUUGAAAUAUUGUUCAUGUUACUCACUUAUGAUGCCACUGCGUCUCCAUAAUGUAGGUAUUGUCACUUUCUCUGAGCAGAAGGUGAAACUUCUGUACUCUAACGGCUUAGGGAAAAAGCCCUAUGAAUAUUUUCAGCAGCUAACAUUAAAAAAACCCUCUUAUUUUUGACUAGAAACAUUCUAAUAUUGAGGCAAAAAG